Non-coding RNA from Melospiza melodia melodia, 399 nucleotides. NCBI's taxonomy places the organism in Eukaryota, Metazoa, Chordata, Aves, Passeriformes, Passerellidae. The record is from the annotation of a RefSeq genome assembly.
CGGGCGGCCGUGACCCUGCUGGAGUGCGGGGGGGACCUCCAGCCCCCCGGGGGCUCCCUGAUCCUCCUCUGCCGAGGGUCCGGGUUUGAUUUCGGGAAUUAUGGAAUGAUGUGGAUCCGCCAGAGACCCGGGCAGGGGCUGGAAUGGCUCGCGGGGAUCAGCAGUGGUUCCCGCACCGACUACUCGCCGUCGGUCAAGGGCCGGUUCACGAUCUCCAGGGACAACGGGCAGAGCUCGGUGACGCUGACCAUGAACAACCUCAAGGACGAGGAUUCCGGAUCCUAUUUCUGUGCCAAAUCUGUUUAUGCUGGUACUAGUUACGAAGCUUAUGGUAUUGAAAGCUCGCAGAGAGGAUUCCAGCCCAGCCCCGAGGAGCAGCCCCAGACACCGCGGCCGUGA